GGAUAUAGCUCAGUUGGUAGAGUGCUUGCCUUACCUGUGCAAGGCCCUGGGUUCAAUCCCCAGCACCA
Molecule: transfer RNA, 68 nt
Filed under: Marmota monax (woodchuck)
Lineage: Eukaryota; Metazoa; Chordata; Mammalia; Rodentia; Sciuridae
Description: tRNA.Undet
Source: RNAcentral